Molecule: non-coding RNA, 71 nt
Organism: Xenopus laevis (African clawed frog)
Lineage: Eukaryota; Metazoa; Chordata; Amphibia; Anura; Pipidae
Source: Rfam
UGUAGGGUGGCAAUGAAACCGUUACCAUUACUGAGUUUAGUAAUGGUAAGGGUUCUGUUGCUGCUCUUCCA